GCUAGGCUUGGUGGUACAUGCCUAUAGUCCCAGCUACUUGGGAGGCUGAGGUGGGAGGAUCACCUGAGCCCCUGAGUUUGAGAUUAGUGUAAGCACCAUAGUGAGACCCCAUCUCAA
Molecule: small RNA, 117 nt
Filed under: Marmota monax (woodchuck)
Lineage: Eukaryota; Metazoa; Chordata; Mammalia; Rodentia; Sciuridae
Source: RNAcentral